This 460-nucleotide ribosomal RNA is filed under the name uncultured bacterium. RNAcentral's name for it is "partial 16S ribosomal RNA". It matches the Rfam family "Bacterial small subunit ribosomal RNA", at positions 338 to 795 of the family's 1533-position model. The record is from RNAcentral.
CCUACGGGAGGCAGCAGUGAGGAAUCUUGGUCAAUGGGCGGAAGCCUGAACCAGCCAAGUCGCGUGAGGGAUUAAGGCCCUAUGGGUCUUAAACCUCUUUUGUCAGGGAGCAAUGGCGUCCACGUGUUGGCGUAUGGAGAGUACCUGAAGAAAAAGCAUCGGCUAACUCCGUCCCAGCAGCCGCGUGAAUACGGAGGAUGCGAGCGUUAUCCGGAGUUAUUGGGUUUAAAGUGUGCGUAGGCGGGACCUUCAGUCAGCGGGAAAAUUGCGGUGCUCAACGCCGUAGAGCCGUUGAAACUGGUGUUCUUGAGUGAGCGAGAAGUAUGCGGAAGGCGUGGUGUAGCGGUGAAAUGCAUAGAUAUAACGCAGAACCCCGAUUGCGAAGGCAGCAUACCGGCGCUCAACUGACGCUGAGGCACGAAAGUGUGGGUAGCGAACAGGAUUAGAUACCCGAGUAGUC